CACACAGAGCAGAACAGGACUGUGCUGAACAAAGAAGUGAGCUCAGUUUGGUUCGCAUACCUGUUAUACAUGGGAUGAGUGAGGAGUUUGCGCCCUUGGUAGGCGGAGCAAGUUUCACGGUGCAUCAUGAUGAAAUAAAGAUUUGCACCAGUCGAA
Molecule: long non-coding RNA, 156 nt
Organism: Sphaeramia orbicularis (orbiculate cardinalfish)
Lineage: Eukaryota; Metazoa; Chordata; Actinopteri; Kurtiformes; Apogonidae
Exons: 3
Source: RefSeq, a predicted model, not a curated record